GGGCUCUUCUUCCGUAGGGGUAACCUGCGGAGGGAUCAUUACACAAAUAUGAAGGCGGGCUGGAACCUCUCGGGGUUACAGCCUUGCUGAAUUAUUCACCCUUGUCUUUUGCGUACUUCUUGUUUCCUUGGUGGGUUCGCCCACCACUAGGACAAACAUAAACCUUUUGUAAUUGCAAUCAGCGUCAGUAACAAAUUAAUAAUUACAACUUUCAACAACGGAUCUCUUGGUUCUGGCAUCGAUGAAGAACGCAGCGAAAUGCGAUAAGUAGUGUGAAUUGCAGAAUUCAGUGAAUCAUCGAAUCUUUGAACGCACAUUGCGCCCUUUGGUAUUCCAAAGGGCAUGCCUGUUCGAGCGUCAUUUGUACCCUCAAGCUUUGCUUGGUGUUGGGCGUCUUGUCUCUAGCUUUGCUGGAGACUCGCCUUAAAGUAAUUGGCAGCCGGCCUACUGGUUUCGGAGCGCAGCACAAGUCGCACUCUCUAUCAGCAAAGGUCUAGCAUCCAUUAAGCCUUUUUUUCAACUUUUGACCUCGGAUCAGGUAGGGAUACCCGCUGAACUUAAGCAUAUCAAUAAGCGGAGGAA
Molecule: ribosomal RNA, 582 nt
Filed under: Alternaria porri
Lineage: Eukaryota; Fungi; Ascomycota; Dothideomycetes; Pleosporales; Pleosporaceae
Description: eukaryotic LSU rRNA
Rfam family: 5.8S ribosomal RNA (bases 207-360)
Source: RNAcentral